RNAcentral lists this ribosomal RNA (446 nucleotides) under uncultured bacterium. Its description in RNAcentral is "bacterial SSU rRNA". It matches the Rfam family "Bacterial small subunit ribosomal RNA", at positions 329 to 792 of the family's 1533-position model. The record is from RNAcentral.
CGCCAGACUCCUACGGGAGGCAGCAGUGGGGAAUAUUGCACAAUGGGGGAAACCCUGAUGCAGCGAUGCCGCGUGGAGGAAGAAGGUUUUCGGAUUGUAAACUCCUUUUAUCAGGGACGAUAAUGACGGUACCUGAGUAAGAAGCCCCGGCUAACUACGUGCCAGCAGCCGCGGUAAUACGUAGGGGGCAAGCGUUAUCCGGAUUUACUGGGUGUAAAGGGAGCGUAGACGGCACAGCAAGUCUGAAGUGAAAGCCCAAGGCUCAACCAUGGGACUGCUUUGGAAACUGUUAAGCUAGAGUGCUGGAGAGGUAAGCGGAAUUCCUAGUGUAGCGGUGAAAUGCGUAGAUAUUAGGAAGAACACCAGUGGCGAAGGCGGCUUACUGGACAGUAACUGACGUUGAGGCUCGAAAGCGUGGGGAGCAAACAGGAUUAGAUACCCUCGUA